RNAcentral lists this ribosomal RNA (631 nucleotides) under uncultured bacterium. RNAcentral's name for it is "bacterial SSU rRNA". It matches the Rfam family "Bacterial small subunit ribosomal RNA", at positions 199 to 848 of the family's 1533-position model. The record is from RNAcentral.
GGGAAAAGGAUUUAUUCGCUUCAGGAUGGACUCGCGUCCAAUUAGCUAGUUGGUGAGGUAACGGCCCACCAAGGCGACGAUUGGUAGCCGGACUGAGAGGUUGAACGGCCACAUUGGGACUGAGACACGGCCCAGACUCCUACGGGAGGCAGCAGUGGGGGAUAUUGCACAAUGGGGGAAACCCUGAUGCAGCGACGCCGCGUGGAGGAAGAAGGUUUUCGGAUUGUAAACUCCUGUCGUUAGGGACGAUAAUGACGGUACCUAACAAGAAAGCACCGGCUAACUACGUGCCAGCAGCCGCGGUAAAACGUAGGGUGCAAGCGUUGUCCGGAAUUACUGGGUGUAAAGGGAGCGCAGGCGGACCGGCAAGUUGGAAGUGAAAACUAUGGGCUCAACCCAUAAAUUGCUUUCAAAACUGCUGGCCUUGAGUAGUGCAGAGGUAGGUGGAAUUCCCGGUGUAGCGGUGGAAUGCGUAGAUAUCGGGAGGAACACCAGUGGCGAAGGCGACCUACUGGGCAUCAACUGACGCUGAGGCUCGAAAGCAUGGGUAGCAAACAGGAUUAGAUACCCUGGUAGUCCAUGCCGUAAACGAUGAUUACUAGGUGUUGGAGGAUUGACCCCUUCAGUGCCG